AUUUAUAUUGGAAGGGCUGCAAGUUAGUGAAACAAUAAGCCAAGACAGAACAGAGAAGAUUUUGGGACGAUUCAGGUACACUAAUACACUCCCUUCUAUUUAUUUUUAUUUAUCAUAGAUGGGCUAACUGUAGCAAUGUAGCGUAGACGUCUAUAGAAACACCAAUUUCUUUACUAAAUCCAAUGAUGCAUGUGAGGCAGUGAAGGACAAUACAUGUGACAGUUCUCUUGCCUCAAACCUUAAACAUCUAACAGAGAGAGCAUGCCCUCCCUGAAGAUGAUGGAAAUAAAUAUACCCAAACAGUUAUUAGAAGCAAAUAAAAAGCAGGAGUAUAUGAUCCUUAGGGCAUUUGAGUGAAAGCAACCUCUCUUCUAAGAAAGUUAAGACCUCUCUUCUAAGCCUUAAGUUAUAUAUCAAGUCCGAUUUCUUUGUGAAAUUAAAAGAAGCCUUUUUUUCAAUUUUGUGUUGGAAUGGAUCUUCUUCUUCUAUGUAGAACGAUCUGGAACUCUUUGUUGAGGAGCAACACACUUAAUGUGGAGAAUAUGAAGAUCAAGAGAGAAUACAUGAUUUAUUGAGCUUGGAGGAACUCGAAAAGCUUAAGGUGGAGCAAAAAAUACUGCUAAUGAGGAAGGAAUUCCAGCCUAACAUCGUACAAUUUCUAGAAUUUGCCCUGGUUCUCCACUUAUUUAAGGCUUAUUGAAAUCUAGUUAAUCAUAUGCGUUAUGGUCUUAUGGAGUUUGUUGGCUUGCUUUGAACUAAUAAGCGUCGGCUUAGCUUUCUGCACAUUUCAUGCUGCCAAGGUUCAAGGUUCUCACCAAGAAUGAAGACUGAGUAAGUUUAUUUACAAUGUAUGGGAAUUCUCAACGUAAGUUUGUUAACUCUAGGAACUAUGAUCCAUAAGCUAACGUAAGCACUAACAUAGGGUUUACACUUGUUACCAGAUCCCCAACAUGAGUGCUCAAAUUUACAUCUUUACGACAAAGAGGAGGAACUUGAGAUGCUUAAGGUGGAGCACAAAAAACUACAAUAAAUGGAGUAAUUCAAGCCGAACAUGGUAUAGUUUCUAAAUCUAUCUCUGGUUCUCCACUUAAUUUACAGUAUAUGUUAUGUGGAAAUGAUUCAUAAUUAUUUUUAGAAUUUGGCUAGUCAUAUGUGACUAAGAUUUAGGGAGCUUGUUGAUGGUAGGCUCGCUUUAAACUAAUUGUUUGAUGGAAGUUUCUGCUUAGAUUUGAGACUAGCUCCAUCCACUCUUGGUCGUUUUCUUUCUACUAUGUGUUUUAUCUUUCGCGAAGUCAUUAGGAACAUCAAUUGGUGCGGACAGAAACGAUGAUUCUGACUUUGGUACCUUUUUCCUAAAAUCAUCAUGCUAGGCUUGUGACUAUAGCAGGUAUGAGGUUGCGAAGAUGGCAAUGGAGUGAACCAAUGAAAAGUUCAACAAUAUUUUCUAACUUGUGUGCAGAUUCUUGAACUUUUUAAUAGGGGGAAAAUAGGAACAAGAGAUCUACAUGAAAUGGAAUGAUGAAAAUAACAAAUCAAAUACAAAGAAUACACGUUUUGAGCUAAGUCAGUCACUAACAAUAACACAUGUUUCUUGCAGAUAAGAAAGAGACGAUAAAGACAAAGAAGAAGGACGAGAAUCUUGACCGUAACAAACCCGAAAAGCUUUGUUUCUUCAUUCAUUAUAUUCUGGUACUUCAAUAUUUGAAUACUCAAAUAUUUUCUAACUAUCUGUUUUGUAUACAGUUUGAUUGCAAAAAGUUGAACAAAGAGUUUGUCGAGAAGAGCAUCAAGGGAUCAAAAAGUCAACUCUUACCGCCCAUAUCUCAUUGGAAUGAAAAGUAAUAAAAUAAAAUUUUAUUCAUUGUUACUUGUGGAAUUGAUUUGUCGGUUUUGAAGAAAUUCUUGUUGUAGGAAUUGCGAGUUAAUGGAAGCGUGCAUGAAAGAAGUGGAAGCUUUAUUAAAUUGUAGCUGACUACAUUUCAGUGAACAACUAAUAUGAUCUGAAUUCAUUCUCGUUUGAUA
This 2022-nucleotide long non-coding RNA is filed under the name Arabidopsis lyrata. RNAcentral's name for it is "long non-coding RNA (ALYR_LNC002713)". The record is from RNAcentral. Lineage: Eukaryota; Viridiplantae; Streptophyta; Magnoliopsida; Brassicales; Brassicaceae.